Molecule: non-coding RNA, 26 nt
Filed under: Mus musculus (house mouse)
Lineage: Eukaryota; Metazoa; Chordata; Mammalia; Rodentia; Muridae
Source: RNAcentral
UAGCUUUGCUGAGGUNUCGGGGUGUG